RNAcentral lists this ribosomal RNA (477 nucleotides) under uncultured bacterium. RNAcentral describes it as "bacterial SSU rRNA". It matches the Rfam family "Bacterial small subunit ribosomal RNA", at positions 1 to 507 of the family's 1533-position model. The record is from RNAcentral.
CACAUGUGACGUAGUUUGAUCAUGGCUCAGAGCGAACGCUAGCGGCAGGCUUAACACAUGCAAGUCGAACGAAGUUUUUCGGAACUUAGUGGCGAACGGGUGAGUAACACGUAGGUAAUGUACCCUUUGGUGGAGGAUAACUCAGGGAAACCUGAGCUAAUACUGCAUAUGUCCUUCGGGAUAAAAGUCUUCGGACGCCUUAGGAGCAGCCUGCGGCCCAUUAUCUAAUCCUAGUUGGUAGGGUAACGGCCUACCAAGGGUACGAUGGGUAGCUGGUCUGAGAGGAUGAUCAGCCACACUGGGACUGAGACACGGCCCAGACUCCUACGGGAGGCAGCAGUGGGGAAUAUUGCGCAAUGGGGGAAACCCUGACGCAGCCAUGCCGCGUGUGUGAUGAAGGCCCUCGGGUCGUAAAGCACUGUCGGGAGGGACGAAGAUCUGACGGUACCUCGCAAGAAAGCACCGGCUAACUCCGUG